AUUGAACGCUGGCGGCAUGCUUUACACAUGCAAGUCGAACGGUAACAGGCCUUCGGGUGCUGACGAGUGGCGAACGGGUGAGUAAUGCAUCGGAACGUGCCCAAUCGUGGGGGAUAACGUAGCGAAAGUUACGCUAAUACCGCAUAAGCCCUGAGGGGGAAAGUGGGGGACCGCAAGGCCUCACGCGAAUGGAGCGGCCGAUGUCAGAUUAGCUAGUUGGUAGGGUAAAGGCCUACCAAGGCGACGAUCUGUAGCUGGUCUGAGAGGAUGGCCAGCCACACUGGAACUGAGACACGGUCCAGACUCCUACGGGAGGCAGCAGUGGGGAAUAUUGCGCAAUGGGCGAAAGCCUGACGCAGCCACGCCGCGUGAGUGAUGAAGGCCUCGG
RNAcentral lists this ribosomal RNA (388 nucleotides) under uncultured bacterium. RNAcentral's name for it is "bacterial SSU rRNA". It matches the Rfam family "Bacterial small subunit ribosomal RNA", at positions 29 to 420 of the family's 1533-position model. The record is from RNAcentral.